Molecule: non-coding RNA, 2734 nt
Organism: Meleagris gallopavo (turkey)
Lineage: Eukaryota; Metazoa; Chordata; Aves; Galliformes; Phasianidae
Source: RefSeq, a predicted model, not a curated record
ACUUCCUCCUAAUAUUCAACCUAAACCUACCAUCCAAGGGCAAGUUCUGAAUACCAACACCAAAGGGGGGGAUUCUUACAGUUUUAGUUUCAUUUCUUCAGGUCUCUGCUGUUUGCUGAUAAAAUCACUCUCAAAGCAUUUGCACAGCUCGCCUGGUAACUGUGCUCUGAUCCAGAUGUGCUCAGAAGUGUUUCAUCAGCUCCUUGAUUUACACUGGAAUUAUUCCCAAAUGCUGUUUUUUUUGGGUGGUGCCAGCAGCUCCUCCAGCAGUGGCAGUUGGCAUGAAGCCCAUGGGACGCACCACGUCCCUUGCAGUGGCUGCCAGCCCAGUGCUUUUCUGCUGCACCGCAGAUUUGCAGCAUAGUAAGGUGCAAGGUUUAAGCAAUGCUUAAGUUCCUUACAAGUAAGGUUGAAGGUAGUUUGGGGAAGAAAGAAAUGGAAGCAGCUCUACAACUCCUCCUUUGCUCCUGAGCAGCCCUUACCUGGCUGGCAUUACUGGACAAGUUCUAUGAGAGAGUUGGCUUUAGCUGCGUUAGCUCAUGUCUUCUGAGACAAAGCUCAAGAAAUCCAUGUGCUGCUUUACGCACCUGACCCAAGGAGAGACCCUCCAGCUGAUUUCUUUGCUCUCCCAGCUGCUGACUUUGCAGGCUGUUUUCCAGCCCGCUGCCCUGUGGCCUUGUGAGGGGUUGAGCAGAUCUGAAGCCCUGCGGGGCUCUCUGCCUGCAGUUUGCACAAGCAGAGCUGCCCUCUGAAUACUCCUCCCCCAGCUCCUUUGGUGCUUCUGGCCCCCUGUGUGGAGGGAGGUGGGCACCACGGAGCUCCCCUCGCAAUAGCCAGAUGGGAGGCACCUGGCACAGCUCCCUGUGCUCUGCAAACCACUUCCUCCUGCCUUUGGGAUAUCUGCUUUAAAGGUGGUAAGCUCCUGCCUGAAGCAGGUCCGGCAUUUCAGCAGUGACAGUAAAAAGUGUUGAUCUGCACGGAUGUUAGCAGCCUCGCAACUGUCUGAUGGCUUACUGAAGUAAAAAGCUUGGUCUCAGAACGGAUCCCCAUGCUUCCACCCAUCAAUCUCUUGGCUUGGUGUUCUGCAGCACAGGGAAAGAGUGUGAUCAGACACGUUUGCAGAUUGCUCCUGUGCAUUUGUACUGCAAUGGCCCCAAGAAAUUCAUAAAGGCCUCAAAAGGACUGACAGCUCUCAAAUCAGGGCAAACAUCCAUGGCUACACAGGUAGCAGUGACCACAGGAGCUGCCUGCGGUACCUGGCCACAGCACUACCACCAGAUUGCUGAAACAGCAAACUGCAGACUGUUAGCAAAAGACAAAUUCCCCCAUCAACAGAUCAUCACACAACUUCAGUUCAAAUAUAACAUAUUAACUUUUAUUGACAUAUAUUAUUAACUUAUAUUAAAUUCAAAUGUAUAUUAUAUCUCUCUAUAUAUGUCUCUCUAAAAUAUAUUCUAUCUCCCUAUAUAAGCUAUAUACGUUAUAUAUGUGCAGCAACAAGGGCCCUGUGCAAAGUUCUAAGGUUCCCCUUCCAGUUGUUCAGUCCUGGGUAUCAUUUUCUUUCUCUCAAGUUUCAUUCUUCAAUUCAGCUUUGUCCUUUUUGCGGGAGGUUGCAUCUUGGUGUCAUCUUCUUCCAUUAAUUUCCUCUUCCUCCACAUCCUCACCAUUUCCUCCAGUUUCAGUUGUUUUGCUGGAGGUUGCCCCGCAAGGUUGACAUCUUCUCGGCCUAAUUUCCUCUUCCUCACCAGCCUUACAGUUUCAUCCAGCCUUUGAUGUUUGGCUAGAGGCUGCCAAACACGUUUGCCAUGCCCUCGGCUUAAUUUCCUCUUCAGCCUCAGCCUCAUCAUCUCGUCCAGCCUGGGACAUUUUGAGGGAGGCUCCCAGUUGAGGCAGGACUUUCUUGCCUUUCUCUUGCUGGGGAGCUCAAGGACAGGCAUCCUUCACCCUCAGCAGCAGGUCGCCCAACGGCCAGCAGGCCUGAAGCGUUACUGCAUGUGUUGUGUUCCAAGAACCCAUGGCAACGGGUGGCGUGGUCUCCUGACUUCAUCACCUGCUGGCUGUGACCGUUCAACACUUCUCAGAGCAUCCCACUGCCUGCUCCUCCACUCCAAACUCCAACAGCUUCUCUAGGAGCCAAUGGGUAACGGUGCUGCAAGUGCUCCUCAGGAGCAGAUGGACAUCUGGACAGACACAAAACCAGACCACGGCAGUCUCUGCCAACCAGCCCUUGUCUGCACCUGAUCAAGGCACCGACCGAAGCAUGAGGAAAGCGCACGGCCCGCUCUGCACCGUUCCGUGCUCAUACAGGAUCUGAGGAUCUGCACUGCAUGCACAGAGGCAGUUCCACAGCACCUCCCAGCUACAGACCCCACCACGGACCUACACACACACGGACAUUCUCCACAGACAUAAGCAGCUGCUCACUGCUCACUUUAGGAUGGAGUCAGGACCUUCAGUAUGGCACACAUUAGCAUCUCCAGGAGCCGUAUGGACUGUCUACAAUUGAACUUUGAAGAUAAGGGAGGAAGAAGCUAAAAAAGGAUGGAUGAGCCUAACUGAGAAAUACCAGAGACACCACACCUGGAAGCACUGUGACUGAGCAUGCUUCUGAGACCAGGGAGGAAAGUUUAGAAUUGAUGAAGACUGACAGCCUUCCUUCCUCAACCCCCAGAUGACUACCAAGAAGCUAUCACAGAAUUUAAAAUAAACAAACAAAUAAAUAAAUAAAUUCAAA